AUGAAGAUAGUCUUAAAUAUUAGGUGCAGUCCUGUAGUCCUUUCAGGACUAAUUCCAGAAAUCUGCCUCUAGCUGCUCUUCAUGCAGUUUCUCAAACCAUGAAAGCUAAGCUUCCUUUAUCUGCUCAAGAUUCACAUCCAGCUACUGUUACAGCUGGUCUGCUGCUGUUGUACGACGUCCUGCUCACCUAGAGAUGCAUGCUGGACUG
Long non-coding RNA from Etheostoma cragini (Arkansas darter), 208 nucleotides. RefSeq lists it as uncharacterized. NCBI's taxonomy places the organism in Eukaryota, Metazoa, Chordata, Actinopteri, Perciformes, Percidae. The record is from RefSeq and is a predicted model, not a curated record. The transcript is spliced from 2 exons.